UUUCGCAAUGCCCGAAAGGGUGACGAAGCGACGCCGCGUGGGUGAGGAAGGCCUUCGGGUUGUAAAGCCCUGUCAGGAGUUAAGAAAUGUAGGUGCGCUAAUAUCGUGCCUAUUUGACAAAGGCUCCAAAGGAAGCCACGGCUAACUCUGUGCCAGCAGCCGCGGUAAUACAGAGGUGGCAAGCGUUGUUCGGAAUUAUUGGGCGUAAAGAGCACGUAGGUGGGUUUGUCAGUCAGAUGUGAAAGCCUUCUGUUCAACGGGAGAAUUGCAUCUGAAACUACAGAUCUUGAGUAUAGGAGGGGAGAAUGGAACUUCUGGUGGAGCGGUGAAAUGCGUAGAUAUCAGAAGGAACGCCGGCGGCGAAAGCGAUUCUCUGGCCUAUUACUGACACUCAGUGUGCGAAAGCUAGGGGAGCAAACGGGAUUAGAUACCCCGGUAGUCCUAGCCGUAAACGAUGGGCACUAAGUAGAGGGGUUUUA
RNAcentral lists this ribosomal RNA (479 nucleotides) under uncultured anaerobic ammonium-oxidizing bacterium. RNAcentral's name for it is "bacterial SSU rRNA". It matches the Rfam family "Bacterial small subunit ribosomal RNA", at positions 364 to 833 of the family's 1533-position model. The record is from RNAcentral.